GGGUGCAUAGUUCAAUGGUAGAAUGCGAGCCUCCAGAGCUUGAGAUAAGGGUUCAAUUCCCUUUGCGCCCA
This 71-nucleotide transfer RNA is filed under the name Candidatus Pacearchaeota archaeon. RNAcentral describes it as "tRNA-Trp". It matches the Rfam family "tRNA". Rfam says of the family: Transfer RNA (tRNA) molecules are approximately 80 nucleotides in length. Their secondary structure includes four short double-helical elements and three loops (D, anti-codon, and T loops). Lineage: Archaea; Nanobdellati. The record is from RNAcentral.